UCAAGUUACCCGAAUCCAAUCCCAAGCGCAAAACCCCCACCACCACCACCAUCCUCUUGCCUAGCGAGAAACCCGACACCGAGUCCGCAACCGGCGCCACCAUCUUACCAAAGGAAGAGUCGACCAUCGAGACCGUCCCGUUGACCGUCUUCAGCUUCCGCCCCGUCAACCGCCAUUUCCCCAGGCGCCCCUUCCCGUUGUCUUUCCGUCACGGCCGCCCAUGCGGCCACGGCCGCCGCCCCUGGACCCCGCGCUUUCACGGAGGCGAGCGCGAACAUCGCGAGGGCGAGUCUGUUUCGUACGGCAACGAUAUGAUCAUGGCGUCCGGGGACAACAUGGGAUUCGAUCCGGCGUUUCGCGGUGGAGAGCGACAGAUCCCCGCUAGGUGGGUCAAUUUCCGCCACGGUGGGCCUAGGUUCCCGUUCAGGCAUGAGGAAGAAAUGGAAUUGGAGAGGCCGCAUCACCACCACCGCCACCACCAUGACCACGACCAAGACCGCCGCGAAGGAUUCGAAGGAAUGGAGAAGCCGUUUAGAGAGCACAAGCAUGAGCAUGAGGGCGGUUUGAU
Molecule: long non-coding RNA, 568 nt
Filed under: Malus domestica (apple)
Lineage: Eukaryota; Viridiplantae; Streptophyta; Magnoliopsida; Rosales; Rosaceae
Description: long non-coding RNA (MDOM_LNC014120)
Source: RNAcentral